UGGGGAAUAUUGGACAAUGGGCGAAAGCCUGAUCCAGCAAUGCCGCGUGAGUGAUGAAGGCCUUAGGGUUGUAAAGCUCUUUUUACCAGGGAUGAUAAUGACAGUACCUGGAGAAUAAGCUCCGGCUAACUCCGUGCCAGCAGCCGCGGUAAUACGGAGGGAGCUAGCGUUGUUCGGAAUUACUGGGCGUAAAGCGUACGUAGGCGGUGACUCAAGUCAGAGGUGAAAGCCUGGAGCUCAACUCCAGAACUGCCUUUGAAACUAGGUCGCUAGAAUCACGGAGAGGUGAGUGGAAUUCCGAGUGUAGAGGUGAAAUUCGUAGAUAUUCGGAAGAACACCAGUGGCGAAGGCGGCUCACUGGACGUGUAUUGACGCUGAGGUACGAAAGCGUGGGGAGCAAACAGGAUUAGAUACCCC
This 417-nucleotide ribosomal RNA is filed under the name uncultured bacterium. Its description in RNAcentral is "bacterial SSU rRNA". It matches the Rfam family "Bacterial small subunit ribosomal RNA", at positions 355 to 788 of the family's 1533-position model. The record is from RNAcentral.